UUGCCCGAUCUGCAAAAGAAGCAUACAACAAUUUCUAAUUUGCAACAUGUUCUGCAUACCUGGAAUGCUGUAAACUUAAAAGGGCUUUCUGGUUGGAACAUCCCCUCCUCAUCAAGGCAUCUCUCUGGUCUGAACUCCUCUGCAUCAUCACCCCAAAUGAAUUUCAUUCUGCCCAUUGCAUAAGGUUCAUAACAAACCAUAUCUCCUUUCCUCACACUGAACCCAUCUGGAAGAGUUUCAUCAGACAAGCAUAUCUUUGCAUCCUGCAAUCAAAGUGAAGAGGUAGUGAGAACCAAAGAAAACCCCAGAACAUAGCAAGGAAGCUAAUUUCUAGCCUUCCCGAUAUGCAUUGAAUGGAUAUCAGUUUAUCGAUGCAUGUUCUUUGAUGUGCAUUAACAAGUUCAGUUGGAGGAUUCAAGAUUCAAGGCAACUUUGCUUACAACUGGAACAGCGGGGUAGAGCCUUAAUGUUUCAGUUAAGGCUGCAUGGAGAUAGUGCAUUUUUCCUAGGGCUUCUUCGCUCAAGAUAGCAGCAAAUUCAGCAAAAUCUUUAACCUCCUUCGUGUCAGUUGCUUCCUUCACUUCUUGUGCAACCUUUUCUUGAACAUCAGGAUGCUUGCAGAGCAUGUAAAUAAACCACGACAGAGUAGCUGUCGUUGUGUCUUUCCCAGCAAUUAUGAAGUUAAGGAUUAUAUCUCGCAAGUAUGUUGGAUCAGUGUCACUCACUUGUAGAAAUCUGGAUAAAAUGUCUUCCUUUUUCAUCUGCAUAAUCUGUAGAAAAUAAUAAUUUCAAUAUUCUACUUCAACAGGUAAUAUAAGCUGUUAACUAUAAGUAGCUCUACUGUUCUAGUUCACUCACUGAAGCUUCAUCCUUUGAGUUGCGUAUUGGCUCAAUCUUGUUGUGGAUCAGCUUAUACACAAAAUUAUCAACCACUUCUAUACUUUUCUUCAGUGUGGCCUCUGAUCCAAUAUUUAGAAAUCUUUUGAUCUUCUAGAAGAUAUCAACAUAUCGGAAGAGGAUUGCUGCACUUGAAUCAUCAAAAGCAGCUGUAAACUGUUUGCCUUCUAAAUUUGAUCCACACAUGCUGUCUAGUUCGACUCCAAAUGCAACUUUGAAUAGUGAAUCUAAAGUCGAUUUCAUAAACAAGUCCUGCACAAUAUAUCGUUAUAACAGAUCCAUUUUAUAUAUCACUCUGCAUUGAUCUUGCCAUUAGGUGAACUUACCUGUAUAUCCAUUAUCUCAUUGGAAUUUGCUGCUUCAGACACUAUAGUUGCAAGUUUUGCCGCAUUUUCCCGAAAGACUACACUGCUGAAAUCUCUCAAGACCUUGGUUGAGAAUUCAUAGCUUGAUACUUUCCUCUGUUGACGCCACUUAUCACCAUCGACAGUGAAAAUCCCAUCACCUAGUAAACCCUUUAGCAAGCUGUAAUUGUACUCACCCUGCACAGAAAAUUAAACAGUUUGGAAAACCAAAACAACUCCACCAUUCUGCCUUUUGGGUGGCCAUAUAAUUAUCAAAAGCCCUCUCAUUCCAACUAAUCACUCUGCGGCAUAUUAGCAUCUACAAUUGACUUACUUGUGGCGAGAUUGAGACCCUUUUUCUUAAUCUAAUUACGGGUGUUUCUGUCUAAGCUACUUACACUAACCAAUCACCGGGAGAGUUCAGAAUUUUCUAGACCAACAAAUUAUUUGUGACUUUGAGGUGUGAAACGAGAGUCGGCACCAUACCUUGCCAUAUUUCUGGAAAUUUGUUUUUAGAAUAUACUCAACAUUGUCUGGUUCCGAGGUAUAAAUCUCAUUCCUGAAAGGGCUAAGCAGCCUGUAGUUCCUGUACUUCCCAGCAAGAUCAGUCAUAUAGUGAUGCAAUCUUCUGAAGUUGAGGAGCUGGUUAAAAACCGUUCCGCCAACGGGAUGGUACUUGGCCUUAUUUUUCCUCUGCCUUUCUCUUAGUUUUGCUGUGAGGAACUGGACGGUGAAAAGGGUCAGGAUUAGACUUAGAACCAAAGCUACCAAGGGAACUGGGUUAGACAGAUCCAUGAAGAUGGAGGUACGUUUGGGAAAGCUGGUCUAUCAAUGUUAGGUGAAGGCUGUAUUAAACUAGAGAAGUCGUUCUGAAAUACUAAUAAUAUCAACGGAGAGAAGUCCUUCUGCCAAGUUAUUCCUCUCAACCAAACGUGUCACAACCUAAUUGGACUACAUUCGGACAAGCCCGAAACGUGGUUCUCUCGAAUUUCACAAGGUGAAAUUUUUGAAAUUGGCAAAAAAUUACUAAUAAAUUUCACCACAACCAGAUAACAAAACAAAGGGUCAUACUUAUUUUUUCCUUAGUUAUGAUGGUAAAGGACAUACAUAUCUGUUCUAUUCGGUUAUUUUGUAGUUAAGUAAAGAGAAUGAUUUUUUAAUUUAAUUUUUAAAUAAAAAUACGUGUAUUUAUCAUGUUAAGUUUAAUAUUCAGAUGAAAAAUUAAUUAGAAUUUUAUUUCAAAGCAUAUGAUACAAUUAAGUAACUUAAGUACAAAGAUGAUUAAGCUUAGCAAACAAGGAAAUGUCAUAUUUCUCAAUCCGAGAGAUAAGAAGCACAGAGCCAAAGGCCCUGCAAAAAGGCAGGGGAGAACUGAAUUGUUGUUUCCUAAAACUUUGCAUUAAGAUCAACAUGACUUUCUAGUCAUUAAAUAUUCUGCUAGAUUUCGAACUUGCAAAUAUGGUCUGUUUUAAUGAAAUUGCAGAAUGUUGUCUCAGGUCUCAACAACUUUGAUUUCACUUCUUUUUCAAGGAAAAAAAAAUGGUUUCACUUAGUUUGCAGAAGUGUCCUGAACUCAAUUUUCAGACAAAAGUAUGGUUCGAGACUCCUUGGUGAGUGAAAGUAAUUCUUCAUCAUAUUUAUUCCUUUAUUUUUCUUUUUGGAUAUCAUUGUAUUUAUUCUUGUGCAAGGACAAGUACAUGCAUACUCAAACCUUGCAAUUGCCCAGCAUACAGAACUGAGCCAACAGAUGAAACCCGUGGUCAAAUAGGCAAGAAAGACUAAGUCUGACAUCUGGGAAAUGCGCGGACAUGAAGGCCCCCAUCUACGUGAAGAGUGAUCAUCGUCCUGUAGGUGACAGAUUUAUUCUCAUCACUCAGUUUGAACACAAAGUAGUGCACCAGAACAGCCGAGAAGAUCUUCAUCUGCCUAUAAGCAAAUUCCUUGCCGAAACAAAUUCGAGGGCCUGCCUGUAAACCAUUAGAAAAUAAAGUUCAGCAUGUUCACAUCUUUAGCCGGUGAAAUCACACUUGUGAAACAAUAUGAGAAGUUUGAACUUUCGGAAAAAGACCCAGAACCAAAAAUCAAAUGCUGUUAUACUGCUUUUUUAGCCUCUUUUUCUAUUUGAGGUUUUAUUUUACACCAAGUGCCAAUCAGAAUAAUAAUGCUUUGGCCGAUCUGGAAACGAAGCGUACAAGAACUUCUAAUUUGUAGUAUGUUCUGCACACCUGGAAUGCUGUAAACUUAAAAUGGCUUUCUGGUUGGAACAUCCCAUCCUCAUCAAGCCAUCUCUCUGGUCUGAACUCCUCUGCAUCAUCACCCCAUAUGAAUUUCAUUCUGCCCAUUGCAUAAGGUUGAUAACAAACCAUAUCUCCUUUCCUCACACUGAACCCAUCUGGAAGAGUAUCAUCAGAAAAGCAUAUCUUUGCAUCCUGCAAUCAAAGUGAAGAGGUAGUGAGAUCCAAAGAAAACCCCAGAACAUAGAAAGGAAGCUAAUUUCUAGCCUUCCCGAUACGCAUUGAAUGGAUAUCAGUUUAUAGAUGCAUGUUCUUUGAUGUGCAUUAACAAGUUCAGUUGGAGGAUUCAAGAUUCAAGGAAACUUUGCUUACAACUGGAACAGCGGGGUAGAGCCUUAAUGUUUCAGUUAAGGCUGCAUGGAGAUAGUGCAUUUUUCCUAGAGCUUCUUCGCUCAAGAUAGCAGCAAAUUCAGCAAAA
This 3953-nucleotide long non-coding RNA is filed under the name Theobroma cacao (cacao). RNAcentral's name for it is "long non-coding RNA (TCAC_LNC000630)". Lineage: Eukaryota; Viridiplantae; Streptophyta; Magnoliopsida; Malvales; Malvaceae. The record is from RNAcentral.